CACGUAGGGCGCAAGCGUUGUCCGGAAUUAUUGGGCGUAAAGAGCUCGUAGGCGGUCUGUUACGUCUGCUGUGAAAGCCCCCGGCUCACCUGGGGAACUGCGCCGGAAACCGACAGACUCGAGUACCGGAGAGGAGGGUGGAAUUCCUGGUGUAGCGGUGAAAUGCGUAGAUAUCAGGAGGAACACCGGUGGCGAAGGCGGCCCUCUGGACGGAUACUGACGCUGAGGCGCGAAAGCUAGGGGAGCGAACGGG
RNAcentral lists this ribosomal RNA (253 nucleotides) under uncultured bacterium. RNAcentral's name for it is "partial 16S ribosomal RNA". It matches the Rfam family "Bacterial small subunit ribosomal RNA", at positions 524 to 776 of the family's 1533-position model. The record is from RNAcentral.